Molecule: ribosomal RNA, 467 nt
Filed under: uncultured bacterium
Lineage: Bacteria
Description: partial 16S ribosomal RNA
Rfam family: Bacterial small subunit ribosomal RNA
Source: RNAcentral
GACGAACGCUGGCGGCGUGCUUAACACAUGCAAGUCGAACGGAAAGGCCCUGCUUUUGUGGGGUGCUCGAGUGGCGAACGGGUGAGUAACACGUGAGUAACCUGCCCUUGACUUUGGGAUAACUUCAGGAAACUGGGGCUAAUACCGGAUAGGAGCUCCUGCUGCAUGGUGGGGGUUGGAAAGUUUCGGCGGUUGGGGAUGGACUCGCGGCUUAUCAGCUUGUUGGUGGGGUAGUGGCUUACCAAGGCUUUGACGGGUAGCCGGCCUGAGAGGGUGACCGGCCACAUGGGGCAGGAGAAACGGCCCAGACCCCUAGGGGGGGCAGGGGGGGGGAAUAUGGCCAAAGGGGGGGAGGCGUGAUGCAGCAACGCCGCGGGGGGGAGGCCGGCCUUCGGGUUGUAAACCGCUUCCCCCUGUGACGAAGCGUGAGGGACGGUAAUGGGUAAAGAAGCACCGGCUAACUACGU